Molecule: ribosomal RNA, 533 nt
Filed under: Bacillus sp. (in: firmicutes)
Lineage: Bacteria; Bacillati; Bacillota; Bacilli; Caryophanales; Bacillaceae
Description: bacterial SSU rRNA
Rfam family: Bacterial small subunit ribosomal RNA
Source: RNAcentral
UAAGACUGGGAUAACUCCGGGAAACCGGGGCUAAUACCGGAUAACAUUUUGAACCGCAUGGUUCGAAAUUGAAAGGCGGCUUCGGCUGUCACUUAUGGAUGGACCCGCGUCGCAUUAGCUAGUUGGUGAGGUAACGGCUCACCAAGGCAACGAUGCGUAGCCGACCUGAGAGGGUGAUCGGCCACACUGGGACUGAGACACGGCCCAGACUCCUACGGGAGGCAGCAGUAGGGAAUCUUCCGCAAUGGACGAAAGUCUGACGGAGCAACGCCGCGUGAGUGAUGAAGGCUUUCGGGUCGUAAAACUCUGUUGUUAGGGAAGAACAAGUGCUAGUUGAAUAAGCUGGCACCUUGACGGUACCUAACCAGAAAGCCACGGCUAACUACGUGCCAGCAGCCGCGGUAAUACGUAGGUGGCAAGCGUUAUCCGGAAUUAUUGGGCGUAAAGCGCGCGCAGGUGGUUUCUUAAGUCUGAUGUGAAAGCCCACGGCUCAACCGUGGAGGGUCAUUGGAAACUGGGAGACUUGAGUGCAG